GGGGGCUGCUCCGCGGGGACGGGCCGCGCAAAGAGGCGCUGCUUCUGGAUUCGCUUCUGAGCUUCCUUCCGCCAGAUCGGAGCGGCGGCUCUCUGGGCGGGGGCCGCUUCUCUAACGCGCGUUGUGAAGAAUCCUGGUUUCGCACGACCCGCGCGAGCAGCUGAGCAAUGGCUCCACGCGUAUCCGGGGCGGUAGAUUGGGGGCCUUCGGGGUGGCUGUUGAGGUUUACCCUGUUGGGUCUGAACCCAGAAGCUUCAUUCGCGCGACGCCCUCAAUCCUGUAAAUUUUAAAAUGGAUUGGGGUUUUUUGUUUGUUUGUUUAGCUUUUUGCCGGGGAGGAGGGCUUGGCACCUGUGUGUUUCCAGCCCUGUUGGCGGCGUGGUUCAGCGUAUAGUGCACCAAAAACAUGUGCGUUAUAGUAAAUUUCGCUCAGUGGUUGCUUAAGUGUUGUUGCAUCACUGCAACACAAGUCCCGUAAAUCUAUGGCAGAGGGUGGAUUGGGGAUGUUCAGCCUCUUUGAAAUGCUGAUGUCCGUCAGGGGUGAAGAAACUCUUGGGAAGUUGCUAAAGGCCACCUAGCAGCUUAGGAAUCCCCUUGGAUGGUGAUACAGACCCGCAAACUGCAUUCCUUAUAGGCUUCUUGAUGCAGAAAUUAAAUAUUGAGCAAUGGGAAAUUAGAGGAAGGGGAUGGUGUCUUUUAUAUGUUCUCUUUUUUUCCGUUCCUUUUCAUGGUCUCCAUCAUUGCUGACUUGGCUGGCCUAAAGGACCCUUUUUUGGAAAGCCCAGUAUGGAUUCUCCUGUGGUUAUGGGUGCACGCUCCCUGUCUUCCUCCACUGAGCCUGAUCAUCUGGUCCCAGUGAAGAAGUUUUAUCAGGGUGAACCUGUGGCCCUGGGGAUCUCACAGAUAUGCAUAGGAAUCACUGGAAUAGCUUUUGCGAGUCUGGUCAGCGCAAUUGAUGAAUCGGUCUUCCUUAUAAAGAUACCCUAUUGGGGUGGAAUCUUGUACAUAAUUUCUGGAUCCUUAGCUGUGGCAGCUGCUCGGAAUCCAAAGAUCCCUCUGGUGAAAGGCAUGCUGGCAAUGAAUGCGAUAAGUGCCAUUACAGCUGGUGUUGGCAUCGUAGUCCUGUCUUUCACAGUCAGCCCCAUCCAUUCAUUUAGUUUCGCCUGGAACUGCAACUAUAAUGGUUAUGACACUAAGGAAAAAUGUGAUGAAAUCGAGACAAGACAAAACCCUGCAUACCUCAUCCAGGUCAUCUUCCUUACUCUACAAUUGGAGAUAUAUGUGCCUAUCUGUAUGCAUAAAAAUGGCUAUGUUACUUUUCUAUUUCAUUGGUAGAAUAUUGGUAAAGGAAUAUUGGUUGUUCUUACUGUGUUCACCAUCCUGGAGUUUUGCAUCGCCAUCUCAGUAGCGUCUUUUGGCUGUAAGAUGCUUUGCCGAGAUCCCUUCGCUGAAACGGUUGUGGUCAUUUAUCAGAAUGUGACACCUGCUAAUGCCGAACAACACCCACCCUUUGACUGCAAACAGCCAGUAAUUCACCCUUGAAUUGUUUUUCUUUCAUAGCAAGUGUUCCAGAGUGCUUUCAUCUCCUGCAGAUGGGAGCUUUCAACAUUUUAAAGGAAUUACACAGAACUAUUUAAUCAGUGGAACAUAAACGAGUUAAUGGACUAAGCAAAGGACCAUCUGUAAAAGAUCUUGAGGAUGUGAAUGUUCUUUGUUACUGGCUAAAGUAUCACUUGUGAACUGGCUGGCAUUUUGUACCAAAUUAUGGUUGCUGUUGGAAAAUAUGUGGUUGGCUGGGUUUAUACAACAUGUUUAUACAACAAGAGCUGUGGUGGCAGCACAGGGGUUAGAAUGCAGCAUUGCAGGCUAAUUCUGCCGACUGCCAGCAGUUCAAUUCUCAUUGGCUCAAAGUUGACACAGCCUUUCAUCCUUCUGAGAUGGGUAAAAUGAGGACCCAGAUUGUUGGGGGCAAUAGGCUGACUCUGUAAACCACUUAGAGAGGGCUGUCAAGCACUGUGAAGCGGUAUAUAAGUCUAAGUGCUAUUGCUAUGUUGCAUAUAAACUAUAAUUUCUAGAUUACAAUGGCUUUGUCCCAGAGCAGGCUAAAUCAAACGCCAUCACAACAGGGCUCAGCAAAAAGUGUGUGUGCUCACAAAGGAAGCUUAGCGGGUCAGUUACAAACUCGGGUGCAUCCACACAGCAACUAUGCCUGGUUAAUUUUAACUUGGGCUAGUUUGUCUUUAGUGUCUUUAGUUCAUGGUUCAAUGCAUUUUACUUAGGUUAGGUACAUUUUUGAACUGAGUAGGAUCCAGAACCAAGCAGGCUUUUUGAAAAGCAUGCAGAAAUCAUUUGCUAUCAUCGUCACCUUCUUUAAAAGAAAAAAAAAAGUAUUUCCUAGUGUGGCCUGUAGUUGUGAAAAGAAAUUAAGCCCGUUGUGUGAAAUCAUCCAAUGGAACACAUUUCAGAAGUUGAUUUGUGGAAUAUAACAAUCUCCAUGGGAACUGUUCAAACAGAAAACCGGGCAACCAAAUGUAGGUACUCCUCGACUUACGACUACAAUUGAGCUCAAAAUUUCUGUUGCUAAGUGAGACAUUUGUUAGGGGAACGUUGCCCCAUUUUACGACUUUUCUUGCCAGAGUUGUUCAGUGCACCACUGCAGUU
Crotalus tigris (Tiger rattlesnake) is the source of this 2660-nucleotide RNA transcript. It is a transcript of the gene named membrane-spanning 4-domains subfamily A member 4A-like, with no coding region annotated. The transcript has 6 exons. NCBI's taxonomy places the organism in Eukaryota, Metazoa, Chordata, Lepidosauria, Squamata, Viperidae. The record is from RefSeq and is a predicted model, not a curated record.